Non-coding RNA from Vicia faba (fava bean), 234 nucleotides. The record is from the annotation of a GenBank genome assembly. NCBI's taxonomy places the organism in Eukaryota, Viridiplantae, Streptophyta, Magnoliopsida, Fabales, Fabaceae.
AUGCUAACAAAUUGGUACAGAGGUUUAUUUUCUUUUUUGCAGAAAUAUGAGAAGAACAAAACAAAGUCAGCCGCACAACAUCGGCCAUCUCUCUGUGAUCCACUCUCACUUCACGCGUACAGACCACCUUGCCGUUCAACCAGCUUCGGCCUUCCUCACAUCGCGAUUGCAACGCCGGCCGAUCUCGUUGCACGACACCAUGAACAACCAGCCAACGCUCUACUCAACGUCUGA